Molecule: ribosomal RNA, 746 nt
Filed under: uncultured bacterium
Lineage: Bacteria
Description: bacterial SSU rRNA
Rfam family: Bacterial small subunit ribosomal RNA
Source: RNAcentral
ACGCUGGCGGCAGGCCUAACACAUGCAAGUCGAGCGGUAGAGAGAAGCUUGCUUCUCUUGAGAGCGGCGGACGGGUGAGUAAUGCCUAGGAAUCUGCCUGGUAGUGGGGGAUAACGUUCGGAAACGGACGCUAAUACCGCAUACGUCCUACGGGAGAAAGCAGGGGACCUUCGGGCCCUUGCGCUAUCAGAUGAGCCUAGGUCGGAUUAGCUAGUUGGUGAGGUAAUGGCUCACCAAGGCGACGAUCCGUAACUGGUCUGAGAGGAUGAUCAGUCACACUGGAACUGAGACACGGUCCAGGCUCCUACGGGAGGCAGCAGUGGGGAAUAUUGGACAAUGGGCGAAAGCCUGAUCCAGCCAUGCCGCGUGUGUGAAGAAGGUCUUCGGAUUGUAAAGCACUUUAAGUUGGGAGGAAGGGCAGUUGCCUAAUACGUAACUGUUUUGACGUUACCGACAGAAUAAGCACCGGCUAACUCUGUGCCAGCAGCCGCGGUAAUACAGAGGGUGCAAGCGUUAAUCGGAAUUACUGGGCGUAAAGCGCGCGUAGGUGGUUUGUUAAGUUGGAUGUGAAAUCCCCGGGCUCAACCUGGGAACUGCAUUCAAAACUGACUGACUAGAGUAUGGUAGAGGGUGGUGGAAUUUCCUGUGUAGCGGUGAAAUGCGUAGAUAUAGGAAGGAACACCAGUGGCGAAGGCGACCACCUGGACUGAUACUGACACUGAGGUGCGAAAGCGUGGGGAGCAAAC